RNAcentral lists this transfer RNA (66 nucleotides) under Marmota monax (woodchuck). RNAcentral's name for it is "tRNA.Ala". The record is from RNAcentral. Lineage: Eukaryota; Metazoa; Chordata; Mammalia; Rodentia; Sciuridae.
GGAUAUGGCUCAGUGUUAAGCACUUGCCUGGCAUGCAUGAGGCCCUGGGUUCAAUCCCCAAGACCA